GUAUUUAUUUUCUUAUGUUUGGGUGCAGACUUGCAGCUUCUUUGUGUUUAUGUUUUAACUGUUUACUUGAUCUUUUCAAGUUUAAUCUUUAUUUUUCAAGUUUGUUGUCGGUUAUUGAAAGAGACUGAAACUAUAAUCAGCAACAAAAGUUCUUGUGACACAUACAUGUUUGGAUAAAUUUGAUCAUGUUUAACCCAAACCAUAAAAAAACACGUUCACAAUACGAUAACAGAGCAUACAAACUCAUUUUGACUGUUUGAAAACCAGGUGAUAUAGGCUUUGCACGUCAAUUUCGUGAAAAACGAGUAAGUCUGUGGGUAUUUAAACAUGAGUUGCGGAUAGAUUUUUCAUUGUGGAUAAAGAUACGUUCACUGAGUGUUACCUGAAAAGACGUUGAAUGUCGGACCACAAGUAAACUCAUUUGAUGCCAAGGCUUUCUGAAAAUGAACGGUGGCGGGCACUUGGAAUGCUCCAAGCAGGAACCGAGCAACGUCGAUUUAAUGUUCACAGGAACUGUAUGGAACUUGUGGCACCGACAUCAGCAAACCAAUCACGCGAGAGACCAUCCCCACAGUGGUUGACCACAUGUAACGACUCAACGACAAGACAGCUGGAUCAGAUUAGAGUUUGAACUGUGGUUUUAGCCCGAUAGCAUUCACUUGGUCAUCUUACUGCUUACAAACAUGUCGAAUCACAAGAUUAUGAAUUGAAAUUGUUGCAUGUAUGUUAUCUGUAUCUAGUAUGCCAUCCAAAUCCAGAUUUGACUUAGUGGAAUGAUUUACUUGCUAAACUAGAAGCAGACCUCAGUAAGCGAACAGGCUGUACCACGGUAUUUUCCGUGUGUUGAUGUAGCGACUCUCGGGUAUGACGUCACGCGACCACGUGACCAGCUACCUCAUUAUCUUGCGUAUUCGCGAAAUGCUUUCGACGGUGGUGCGUUUUAGAUUCCUAAUACAAGCUGUAUAAUGAAAUAUUACCGUUUUUAACAGUAUUUUGUAAAUAGUAUAUAUACCCAGGGAUUCAUUAAGAGCAAAAAUAAACAAUGUGAAGUGACCUUUAUAAAAAUCCUUUAACAUUAAACAAGUAUUUGUACAUUAAAUGUAUUUGUCUUUCA
Haliotis rubra (blacklip abalone) is the source of this 1114-nucleotide long non-coding RNA. RefSeq lists it as uncharacterized. The transcript is spliced from 2 exons. The record is from RefSeq and is a predicted model, not a curated record. Lineage: Eukaryota; Metazoa; Mollusca; Gastropoda; Lepetellida; Haliotidae.